UACGUAGGGGGCUAGCGUUGUCCGGAUUUAUUGGGCGUAAAGAGCGUGUAGGCGGCCAUGUAGGUCCGGUGUGAAAACUCGAGGCUUAACCUCGAGAUGUCAUCGGAAACCAUUUGGCUAGAGCCCGGAAGAGGAGAGUGGAAUUCCUGGUGUAGCGGUGAAAUGCGCAGAUAUCAGGAAGAACACCAAUGGCGAAAGCAGCUCUCUGGGACGGUACUGACGCUGAGACGCGAAAGCGUGGGGAGCGAACAGG
This 253-nucleotide ribosomal RNA is filed under the name uncultured bacterium. RNAcentral's name for it is "partial 16S ribosomal RNA". It matches the Rfam family "Bacterial small subunit ribosomal RNA", at positions 524 to 776 of the family's 1533-position model. The record is from RNAcentral.